Molecule: transfer RNA, 71 nt
Filed under: fish gut metagenome
Rfam family: tRNA
About the family: Transfer RNA (tRNA) molecules are approximately 80 nucleotides in length.
Source: RNAcentral
GGGCUGUAGCUCAAUUGGUAGAGCGCUUGAAUGGCAUUCAAGAGGUCAGGAGUUCGAUUCUCCUCAGCUCC